Molecule: non-coding RNA, 22 nt
Filed under: Arabidopsis thaliana (thale cress)
Lineage: Eukaryota; Viridiplantae; Streptophyta; Magnoliopsida; Brassicales; Brassicaceae
Source: RNAcentral
CAUCAUUGAAGAUAUGGUUGGG